GAUGAACGCUGGCGGCGUGCCUAAUACAUGCAAGUCGAGCGAACGGACGAGAAGCUUGCUUCUCUGAUGUUAGCGGCGGACGGGUGAGUAACACGUGGAUAACCUACCUAUAAGACUGGGAUAACUUCGGGAAACCGGAGCUAAUACCGGAUGAUAUUUUGAACCGCAUGGUUCAAAAGUGAAAGACGGUCUUGCUGUCACUUAUAGAUGGAUCCGCGCUGCAUUAGCUAGUUGGUAAGGUAACGGCUUACCAAGGCAACGAUGCGUAGCUGACCUGAGAGGGUGAUCAGCCACACUGGAACUGAGACACGGUCCAGACUCCUACGGGAGGCAGCAGUAGGGAAUCUUCCGCAAUGGGCGAAAGCCUGAUGGAGCAACGCCGCGUGAGUGAUGAAGGUCUUCGGAUCGUAAAACUCUGUUAUUAGGGAAGAACAGAUGUGUAAGUAAAUGUGGACGUCUUGACGGUACCUAAACAGAAAGCACCGGCUAACUACGUG
Molecule: ribosomal RNA, 497 nt
Filed under: uncultured bacterium
Lineage: Bacteria
Description: partial 16S ribosomal RNA
Rfam family: Bacterial small subunit ribosomal RNA
Source: RNAcentral